GGCGGAGCACAGCCGUCCCGGGACGCUCAGCGGAGGAGAGCUGGCCAGGCGGCGGGACGUCGGGUCCACUCGCUGCUGCCGCGCGCCGGGAGCUGAGCGUCUCGGGAGAAAGUGUGGGCACCCCCUGGAAACGUGUUAACGACCAGUGCCCUCAGACCUGCCUCCUACCGCGCUUGCAGGCGCUUCCGAGCUGGCCUCAGCCUUGACAAAAGCCCGCGACUCUAAGGCACCCAGUAACUGCUACGCCUUUAAAACGAACACGAUCUUUAAUCAGAGCGCAUUUCUAGUCCACGAAACGCAGGUUGGCUAAAGAUGCGGUUUCUGGCUUUUUGAUUAGUGAGCGAUGUCCGUGAAAGCACGAAUUUGGGGGCCUGCAAAGUAUACAGCCAUGUUGAAACAAAAAACAAAACAAAACAAAAAACUCGGACUCGAUUCUCACUGAAAUACGCCAGCAUUGAGCUGUCAUGAUAUUUUCCCGUGAGAGAUGGAUCGAAAGGCGCCUCUAAGGGAAUUUCAGAAUAAUAUUGUUUCCCUUUCCUUGAGCGAGACUGAAAAACUUUAGAAAAAGAAAAGCUUGUACCUAGAACAAAGGAUCACACCGAAUACAUAUCCUAGAAUAUAGUUCACAUCCCUCGCGUCAAGAAAAGAUUUUUGCUGAAUUUCAGUCUACAAUUUGAGGCUACAAAAAUAAGAACUACUGCCUCCCUUGUUUCUGGAGAAACUGCUGGAGUGUGCUCGGAACAGCCGUGGUUUCUGAAACGGGCUCUCAGAGACAGAAUGAGUGUGGAUGAUCAGAGAGUCCUGACUCUGGAGCUGCUCCCUACAUGUUUCAGCUGUCUGCUCAGACAUGUAGACGAUUCCCCACACUUACAACCAAAAUGACGAUGAAUAAAAUGAUUUGAGACUUUUAUGGUAGGUAUUAUGAUGUUUCAUAACUUUUCCAAGCAUAGAGUUUUGCUUUUGAUAGAAGUGUUCUGAAAAUAAGGCAGUGCAUUUGAAAGUACUGUGAGAAAAACAUGGCGCUUUAAAAAUGUAUUGAAACACAUGAAAUGACAUCCUGAAUCAAAUUUAGAAAAUAGUGGAAAUACUAGAUUUUUAAAUCCUCAUGUCCUUAUAGAUUUUUGUCACAGAGUAGUAGGCUUAUAACGUAUAUAAUUUUGUAUCUUGUUCUUUUCCCUUAACAUUGGAUAGUAACAGUUUCCUGUAUUGUUAUGGAUCAGCCUAAACAUCAUUUAAAAUGCUGCAGAGUAUUCUAGGGAGCUGUGUAUUAAUGUACUUAAUAGUUCCUCUGCUUCGAGCCAUUUAUAUUGUUUCUAUUUUGUAAUAUUAUAAAUAAUGCUGCAACGAUCAUCUUGUUCCUACAGCUUUUUUUUUUUUUUAAUGUUUACAAUUAGUCCCCUGGGGUGGAAACCAAGGAGUAGAAUUACUGGGUGAAAUGAAUGAACACACUAUGCAUUAUUUUUCAAAAAUAAUAUAUCAGUUUACCAUGUCACCAUACAGUUUGGCACAAUUGGACAUUCUUAUUUUUUUAAAAAAUCACUGAUAAGAUGGGUGAAAUGGUAUUCGACUGUUCUUUAAUUUGCAUUUUUGUUUACUAGUAAUAUAAAAAAAACUUUUAUAUAUCUUUGCUAACAAUAGAUUAUCUUCUGUAAAGUGCCCUUUGCUUUAUCUCUUG
This is a long non-coding RNA of Prionailurus viverrinus (fishing cat), 1675 nucleotides long. RefSeq lists it as uncharacterized. NCBI's taxonomy places the organism in Eukaryota, Metazoa, Chordata, Mammalia, Carnivora, Felidae. The record is from RefSeq and is a predicted model, not a curated record. The transcript has 3 exons.